UACGAAGGGGGCUAGCGUUGCUCGGAAUCACUGGGCGUAAAGGGUGCGUAGGCGGGAUCUUAAGUCAGAGGUGAAAGCCUGGAGCUCAACUCCAGAACUGCCUUUGAUACUGGGAUUCUUGAGUUCGGGAGAGGUGAGCGGAACUGCGAGUGUAGAGGUGAAAUUCGUAGAUAUUCGCAAGAACACCAGUGGCGAAGGCGGCUCACUGGCCCGAUACUGACGCUGAGGCACGAAAGCGUGGGUAGCAAACAGGG
RNAcentral lists this ribosomal RNA (254 nucleotides) under uncultured bacterium. RNAcentral's name for it is "partial 16S ribosomal RNA". It matches the Rfam family "Bacterial small subunit ribosomal RNA", at positions 524 to 777 of the family's 1533-position model. The record is from RNAcentral.